ACAGACGGACAACCCGAUUCCAGUAUACCCCCCCCCCCCCUAAUUAAUUACCUAAUGAGCUUUUAUGGAUUAUCCUGCUACUGUUACAAUAUUUACCAUCUAUGCUGAAUAAAGAUUUUUAAGUCACCAAGUUUACUCAAGUAAUUGCAUUGAAUUUAAUGCAAUUAAACUUAACUGUGUUAAGAAUUGAACAUGUUUAAUUUCCUCUCGAUAACUACCUCGGCACCAUUCCAAUUCUUUUCAAAUAAAGUUUGAUAUGAAACAUCUUUGGGACAAAAGGGACAUAAAUUGUAAAAUUCAGGACUCCUGCACCACUGGGGCCCUAGGGGCAGGGCAAAAACUGCCCAAAAUUGACCAAUUUUCAAAAAUCUUCUUCUCUAGAACUGCACAUCUUUAAGAAAAACUAAAUCCAUAGUGAUGUAGAGCAGAAAUUAAGGCAUCCGCAAAAAAUUUUAAUUUCAUGAUCCCCAGGGUAGAUUCUGACCCCAGGGCGGGGCUAAACUUACUACAUGUAUAUAGUGUUCAUGUGUAAAACACUUAAAUAACAUCUUCUUUAAUGCUAUUGAUACUAAAUUGAAACUAAAUGGAUAUCGAUAGUCCUUUACCAAAAUAGUAAAUUUUAUGAUCCCAGGGGUAGGGGUUUUGGUAUUAGGGUGAGGCCAAAAUGGUCAGUUAUCAUAUGUGUGAACAAUUUUAAAAUAGACAUUUUUAACUUCUUCUUGAUAACUAUCAUUCCAAUUCUUUUCAAAUUUGGUGUGGAGCAUCUUUGGGACACUGGGAGACAGUAUGUGUACCAAUUUAUUGAUGAGCUGGACAAAAACCAUAGAACAGAUGACCAGGGAAGUGUCACAGAGGGCAGAAUGUACGAGCUACCUGCAGGAAAUAGCAACUGCCCGGUUCUGUCCUUCCAGAAGUACCUAAGCAAACUCCACCCUGACAGAAAUGACUUAUGGCAGAUCGAUCUAGAGACCGAGGGAUGUUUUCAACCAGAAGAAUGAAGUCUGGUAUUUGAAAUCUGCAGUAGGAAAGAAUGCACUUUCUAACUUCAUGACAGAUAUUUCCAAAUUAGUAAAACUUUCUCGUGAGUACAUGACCAUUCAGUGAGGGCCACUAGUAUUACUGUCAUGGAUGUUGGUGGAAUAAAUGGGCUUCAUAUCAUGAAGGUAUCAGGCCAUAAGUCUUCCUUGAAAUCCUAUUCUCACUUUGUAAGUGACCAAAAAAAGAGGGAAAUAUCGGACACUUUAAACUCUGCAUUAGGUCAUCAGAGAGAUCAAAUGGAAUUAGGUGAUUUGUCGGAUGUUUUUAAAGAUGACUUGAACUGGAACCAUUAGAUGUCACUUGUACUGGAGAUAUGCAGAUCAUCCUCUGCGAGGUCGAUCGAAACCAGGUUAACACUCGAAAUCAAUAUUCCAGGGGAUUCCUUAAUUUCAGACCAAAUUUCUCUGAUAAUUGUAACAUUACCAUAACAUUAAUUUUCAGAAAUGAUCAUAGUUAUGCAAUGUUAAUUGUUAUCUAUCUAUGAUUCUGCAUGGUUUGAUUGUUGCUACAAAAUAAAUAUGAAUUAAAGUGUUCUUUGACAAUUUGUUAUCUUACAGAAUGCUAGCUACUAUUACAAAUCUACA
Long non-coding RNA from Ostrea edulis (European flat oyster), 1622 nucleotides. RefSeq lists it as uncharacterized. The record is from RefSeq and is a predicted model, not a curated record. Lineage: Eukaryota; Metazoa; Mollusca; Bivalvia; Ostreida; Ostreidae. The transcript is spliced from 2 exons.